Molecule: ribosomal RNA, 665 nt
Filed under: uncultured bacterium
Lineage: Bacteria
Description: bacterial SSU rRNA
Rfam family: Bacterial small subunit ribosomal RNA
Source: RNAcentral
UAACGCGUGGAUAACCUGCCGUAUGCAGGGGGAUAACAGUUGGAAACAGCUGCUAAUACCGCAUAAGCGCACAGUACCGCAUGGUACGGUGUGAAAAGAUUUAUCGGCAUACGAUGGAUCCGCGUCCGAUUAGCCAGUUGGCGGGGUAACGGCCCACCAAAGCGACGAUCGGUAGCCGGCCUGAGAGGGCGGACGGCCACAUUGGGACUGAGACACGGCCCAAACUCCUACGGGAGGCAGCAGUGGGGAAUAUUGCACAAUGGGGGAAACCCUGAUGCAGCGACGCCGCGUGAGUGAAGAAGUAUCUCGGUAUGUAAAGCUCUAUCAGCAGGGAAGAAAAUGACGGUACCUGACUAAGAAGCCCCGGCUAACUACGUGCCAGCAGCCGCGGUAAUACGUAGGGGGCAAGCGUUAUCCGGAUUUACUGGGUGUAAAGGGAGCGUAGACGGCGCUGCAAGUCCGGAGUGAAAGCCCAUGGCUUAACCAUGGUACUGCUCUGGAAACUGUGGAGCUUGAGUGCGGGAGGGGCAGGCGGAAUUCCUAGUGUAGCGGUGAAAUGCGUAGAUAUUAGGAGGAACACCGGCGGCGAAGGCGGCCUGCUGGACCGUAACUGACGUUGAGGCUCGAAAGCGUGGGGAGCAAACAGGAUUAGAUACCCUGGUAGU